ACCACCCUGAGUGUGCUGAUCUCAUCUGAUCUCAAAAGCUAAGCAGGCUCAGACCUGGUUAAUACUUGGAUGGGAGACAGGAGACUACUACAGGCA
This is a ribosomal RNA of Marmota marmota marmota (Alpine marmot), 96 nucleotides long. The record is from Ensembl. Lineage: Eukaryota; Metazoa; Chordata; Mammalia; Rodentia; Sciuridae.